This 727-nucleotide long non-coding RNA is filed under the name Salmo salar (Atlantic salmon). RNAcentral's name for it is "lncRNA (ENSSSAG00000106964.1)". Lineage: Eukaryota; Metazoa; Chordata; Actinopteri; Salmoniformes; Salmonidae. The record is from RNAcentral.
AAUAUCCCCCCUCCCCUAGUCAAAUAUCCCCCCUCCCCUAGUCAAAUAUCCCCCCUCCCCUAGUCAAAUAUCACCCCUCCCCUAGUCAAAUAUCACCCCUCCCCUAGUCAAAUAUCCCCCUCCCCUAGUCAAAUAUCCCCCCUCCCCUAGUCAAAUAUCACCCCGUCCCCUAGUCAAAUAUCCCCCCUCCCUAUAAAAUAUCUCCCCUCCCCUAGUCAAAUAUCACCCCUCCCCUAGUCAAAUAUCACCCCUCCCCUAGUCAAAUAUCCCCCCUCCCCUAGUCAAAUAUCCCCCCUCCCCUAGUCAAAUAUCACCCCGUCCCCUAGUCAAAUAUCACCCCACCCCUAGUCAAAUAUCACCCCUCCCCUAGUCAAAUAUCACCCUCCCCUAGUCAAAUAUCACCCCUCCCCUAGUCAAAUAUCCCCCCUCCCCUAGUCAAAUAUCCCCCCUCCCCUAGUCAAAUAUCCCCCCUCCCCUAGUCAAAUAUCAACCUGCACUAGUCAAAUAUCCCCCCUCCCCUAGUCAAAUAUCACCCCUCCCCUAGUCAAAUAUCACCCCUCCCCUAGUCAAAUAUCACCCCUCCCCUAGUCAAAUAUCACCCCUCCCCUCGUCAAAUAUCAACCUGCACUAGUCAAAUAUCCCCCCUCCCCUAUGAAAUAUCCCCCCUCCCCUAGUCAAAUAUCCCCCCUCCCCUAGUCAAAUAUCACCCCACCCCUAGUCAAAUAUC